GUUAUUUUGGCAGAAUUAAUGCAUUUGAUUUAGGGUCAUAAGAUGGUUUAUAACCAAAUAAUAC
This 64-nucleotide transfer RNA is filed under the name Physella acuta. RNAcentral's name for it is "transfert RNA-L1(CTA)". The record is from RNAcentral. Lineage: Eukaryota; Metazoa; Mollusca; Gastropoda; Physidae.